UGCAACAUGGGCCUCUAACAUGAAGAACAGACUGUGCACAUUGGAGGAGCUGAAUUAAUACAAGAUACUUUUUAUUAGAAGCACAUCUUCAUCUAGCAUUCCCCAUGGCUGCAAAGCAGGUAUUUUAAAGAAGUUACUUUAAGGAAGGGUGAGGAGAUCCAUUUUGGCAAUGGGAACCCUGUAAAUAGUGCUGGUGGGUAGCACUGUGCACACAUUUCUGAGCUUUGCACAGUCAGUGCACUGCCCAACCCUGGCAUUACCUGAGGUGAAGCAGCCCUGUGGUCCAUCUUGUGCUGCUGAUGGAUGCCUGUAGGUACAGGAGCAGAGAAGGGGGAGCCAGCAGCCCCAGAGUAGCAUUCAUCCAGCACUCAAGCACAAUUCUACUCUGCAUUCCGUGCCUUUUUACCUAAGUGAGCUGCUGGCGGUGUAAAUCCUUAGGCAUGGUUGAUUCCCCCAGUAACUGAAAUAAAUGGCUAUUCAUUUCUAGGCCUGCUGCUGCUGCAAAGCUAAUGGAGACCUAGAAAAGGGAGCUGCUUUCAAUUUUGGCUUACCAGCACUGGCAUCAACUCAGCUGUCCCUGCAAAAUCUUCAUGACUGAUGAGGCAGAAAGCAGGAAAGGCACAGCUUUGGUUUUCAGACCACAGAUGAAGCUUCCAGAGAAUCAUUCAUCUGAUUUUCCAUGGCUUCUCCAGGCUUCUCUGGUGGUUGUAGAGGUCCAAACUCCACAGUGGUGCAGGUUUGUGUACAACAGAAACAAAACCAGCUCUCAGAUCACCCAUCCUUGCUCAUUUUCCCAGCCCACAUGCGCUUUCUUCCCUGCUCAAGUCAAGCUGAG
Molecule: long non-coding RNA, 835 nt
Filed under: Parus major (Great Tit)
Lineage: Eukaryota; Metazoa; Chordata; Aves; Passeriformes; Paridae
Description: lncRNA (ENSPMJG00000005867.1)
Source: RNAcentral